GGCUGCAGUGGGGAAUAUUGGACAAUGGGCGAAAGCCUGAUCCAGCAAUGCCGCGUGAGUGAUGAAGGCCUUAGGGUUGUAAAGCUCUUUUACCAGGGAUGAUAAUGACAGUACCUGGAGAAUAAGCUCCGGCUAACUCCGUGCCAGCAGCCGCGGUAAUACGGAGGGAGCUAGCGUUGUUCGGAAUUACUGGGCGUAAAGCGUACGUAGGCGGUUAUUCAAGUCAGAGGUGAAAGCCCGGGGCUCAACCCCGGAACGGCCUUUGGAACUAGAUAGCUAGAAUCUUGGAGAGGUCAGUGGAAUUCCGAGUGUAGAGGUGAAAUUCGUAGAUAUUCGGAAGAACACCAGUGGCGAAGGCGACU
Molecule: ribosomal RNA, 362 nt
Filed under: Enterobacter cloacae complex sp. 4DZ3-17B2
Lineage: Bacteria; Pseudomonadati; Pseudomonadota; Gammaproteobacteria; Enterobacterales; Enterobacteriaceae
Description: bacterial SSU rRNA
Rfam family: Bacterial small subunit ribosomal RNA
Source: RNAcentral